UAGCAUAUUGAAAAUGAUCCACAGCACGAACUGGUUCUCCAGUUUUAGAGUGCGAGAUUAAGGAUUCUAACAAGAUUUGAAUAACCCAUUUCCGAGCAUGAGAGUAGGAUUUUAUACGCGAAGGAUGGAGGAUUUGAGCUGUGAGGUUACGCCUCAAAAGUCUCCAAGUUGGACCAUAGGGAGCAAAACUGAUAUUAUGUUGAUUACAGCUUAAAAUCUUGGCUAUGGUAGGAAGUUCGGGGCGGUCGGCAAACAAAGCACCGUUUUGAAUUAACGCCUGGUGGGCGAGAGAGCGAUCGGAGAUGAAAAUAGCAGGGCGAGAAAGAAUGUUGAGAGUGACCAUCGGACCAAGCUUGUUAUGGAGGUUCCGGAGGAUUGGUUCCAGCUCGGAAACGUUUCUCCUGACCCAUAAAAUGUUGCUGAUAAUGGGAAUGUUGGCAGGGCCCGGAGGGAGUGUUUGGGAAGGGUUCUCGGAAUGGGAUGAAAGAAGGUUAAUGAGAGCUCUAAAGAGAAGAGAAAUGGAGAUGGUGACGAGAAUGAUGAACCAGGUUUCCAUGUUGCUUUGGGUUGGGAGAGAGUUGUGUGGUGGAUAUAUAAAAGAGGAUUUGAGGGAGCGGCAAGUAUUAUUUGUAAUUUGAGUUUGUUGGCAAAAGCUUGACUUCAUGUAACGAGGUCAAGAGAGAUACGAAAUGAACACUACUGUGCUUUUUAAUUGGAAGAUGGUAGAUUGAUAGCAUGGCCAACAUUUUUUGUGGUGGUUGACCAGAGUGAGUCUCUAGGCAUUUUGUCUAACAUAAAAGCGGGAUGCUACUGAUUGCUCACUUCAACUGUAUUUUAAAUGCUUACCAUGGUUUCAUUUUUAAAUCGAUCUUAGUACCAAUUCAAGAGUCACAAGUCUUUCUCUUGUCUUAAUUGAGGCUUAUCUUAAUAUCUCUUAUAAAACGUCUAUUCAAUGAAGAAUGUUGAAUAAAUUUUGAUAUCACAUUACACUAAUUUACAUUUUCAAUCAAAAAAAAUGUUUUUUUAUUAAAUAAAAAUAGAUCUUCCAAACUUUUUUCAUUUUUUAUUAAUGUGGAAUUUAUGUAGUGUAUAAUGUUAUUAAAAAUUAUAUUUUUUAAAAAAUUAUCUAAUUCUAAUAGAUUUUUGUUUUUUAUAUAGUAAAUAUACAAGUUGCUAGUUAUUUAAUAUAUUAUAGGGACAUGUUUUCAUCUUAAUUUGUAACGAGAAAAUAAUUUUAAUAUACAGCUUGCUUUAUAUUUUAAAUAUAUAAUUUUAAUUCAACAACACUUUCUUACAAAAAUAAUUACAUGAAUAACACAUUACUUAUAAUUAAUAGAUAUCUUUGAAAAAUAUAAAAUUGAUAACAAAUCUCAUAUAUAUAUAUAUAUAUAGAAAUAAAUUGAUAAUAUGUUGUCUUUUUGUUAAUAAUAAAUGUAUACAUUCCUUUUUACAUUUCAUUUUUCCAAUAGUUGCAUACUCACACAAUGUACAAAUUUAUGUAAAACAAUUAUACGAUAACAUAGUAUGAUUUUGUUUUAUUUAUAUAAUCAUAUACAGAUUAACAUUGCAGACCAUUAUAAAGUUCAUCAUCCAAUCAAACAUAUAAACGAAUGUAUAGAAUUUAAGGAGAAAAAGAAAAUGAUGAAGUAAUAUUUGAAAAAAAUCAUAAUCUUUGAUAUUUCAUUAUUUCAAUAAUUAAUUCAUUUAUACCAAAAACUUUACGCGCAUAAGAUAUAUAUAAAACCGAUACAAAUUGAAGGAUUCUAUUAACCAAUCUUUAGAUAUAUAUAGAUAAUUUAUAUAUUAUAUUCACAACUCAAAAUUCCAACACAAUUAAAUAGGAUAUUACUAUUACUUAAUUCAAUAUAACAAAUUAAUUAAUAAAUAAGAAAAUUGUCAUACGAAUAUUCUAAAAUAUUAAUUUUGACGGAAUGGGGCUUAAAAUUGAAGGCCUGAACUGGUAGAUGGGCUCAUAAACAGGGUUAACUCCCAGCUUAGUUAUGCCGUUAGGCCCAUGGAAAACAACCAGAAGACGAGGACCCAGCCCGAGAAAUCAACAUUGGAAUGCAGGAUUUGAUAAAUCCCAGAACCCAAGAAACAGCUCGGAGAAACAAGAUUUUGAAUUUUGAAUUUUGAAUUUACACGGAAGCUUUGGGGAGGAGAAUGAGAAUCAAGCAUGGCAACCACUUCCAAGAACAUGAAGGGUUUCUACAGGCAAAAGAAGAACAACAGUAGGGGACGCAUAACCAAGUCGAAAUCCUCGAAAUCAACCGAAAACCCGUCGCCCAAACACCCCGCUACUUUCAGUUCCGAUAUCACCCAGCCCGCCGCCCUUACUUCUCCCGGUGGUUCCCUCGAUCUCAAAGGUCACUCUCUUUUCCCUUUUUCUUUUAAUGGGUAUUUAUAAAAAAAUAAAUACUAUUAUAUUUCUUUACUUACUUUUAUUGGUUUUUGGGGAGGAAGCAGAUGAUUUUGAUGAGCAAGAGGAAGUGUUAAGGCAAUUUGAUAUGAACAUGGCAUAUGGACCGUGCCUUGGGAUAACGCGGAUGGCUCGUUGGGAAAGAGCUCAAAGGUUGGGGCUAAACCCUCCUAAAGAAAUUGAGAAUCUCUUGAAAGGUGGGAAAGUGAAGUUAGAAUCCUUAUUUGAUGGUCGUGUUUAGUUAAUUGUUACUGAUGUUUUUAGGGUGAAAUGUACAGCCUCUAGCUGUGCUUUUAGUUUGGUGGUCAGUGUUCUUAAUGUUGUAAUGAACUGGAGAAGUUUGGCAAUAUUAAUGGAGAUGUUAUGCGACGACUGAUUAGUUGUUUAAUGUUGUGUUAUGAUUAAAAUUGGAUCUAACAAGUUGAUUUCUUUUAGAGUAAUUAGCUUGUUCCUAGCUAAUUUUGGCCUCUAAAAGAGUUGAAGGGAAAGGGUUGCAUAUGUUGGGUUAUUUUACCUUGGAAUUUCUUUCAAUAACUAAUCUGGCUGCUACUUGCGUUCUAAAAUAUGUCUUGUUUAGCAGCAUCAAAUAUUCAAGUUGUAGCAAUUCAUGUGGUUUCCUGCUUGCUAGUGUAUAGCUUGUAACAACUCUGGGAAAUUCUAGUUGUUUAUUGAUCUAAUUAAAGGGUAUAGAGUAAUAUUAGCUUAUACUAUCAACACAUUAAAGUAGUUUAUCAAGCUUUAAUCUAUCAUGCAGUCUUAGGGUUAAGUAACCUGAUGAAUGAUUGUAGAAUAUAUGCCCAAUGCCGAAUUGCGGGUACAUGAAAUUUCACUGGUCAAUGCAUAUGACGAAUCACAUUGUACAAUCAUGUUAAGCCAUCUUUUGAACAAUGGGAAGAUCUUAAAGUUACUUGUGUGCCUAUUUGGUGCUAGUGCUACUGAUUCAUUUUGUUUAAAUACUGUUACAUACUUGUUCUCAUGUCAGUUAUCAGAGUAUUAGGUAUCCACAUAUUGCCCUUAAAUAAGUUGGAAGUGGAAGAGAGAAAAGGAAAGGUAAAGGAAGCAAUUCUAUCAUCUAAUUUUUAUGCAUGUGAGUGGAAUUCCAAUUUAAUUUCUUAUUAAAGGGAAAGGAGAAGGUGAAAAAGAAGAUGCUGCACCACAUAUAACUACCAUUUGGUUUGGGCUUGACAAGCAACUUAAAUUGAAAAAUGAGAAUUUUUCUCAUCUGGACAUGUUCAUGGCAAGAGUGUCUAUACUAAUAGACAAUAUAUUAGGGUUUUCAAAAAAAUUAUGACAGAACUCAAAGCACACAGUUAAGUAAAGACUGGAAAGUUGAAUUUAAAUCUUGCUCGGUUUAAUUUGCCAUAGAAACACAAGAACCCAGCUACAUUUUCCAUCUGAAAUCAUGGAAGCAGAAACGAUUAUCUCACAUACAUAACUUGCCACUAUAACAGCUCUUUCAUCUCUAAAAAUGUUAAAAUCUGAUAGUGUUGUGCACUUGCAAUAACAAAUCCAAAGACAUCAUCACUAUUAGGGACCUAAAACUACCUCUGAUUCUUCUUACUUGGUCAUGUUCAUUCAUAUAUAUAUCUAACGACAUAAAAAAAAUAUCCAUAUUACUUAUUGGUUGAUAAUGACUUGUGGCUUGUCAUAGCUAGCAAGCACGUUAGUUUUUGUUAUGAAAUAAAAAAUCUUAUACGUUACAUACAACAUAUGCGAUAAUAAUUUUAUAUUCUAAAUAAUAAUAAUUAUGUGUACCAAAUCUAUUUCGAAACAAGCAAAUUGAAUUUUCCAAUUUUUUUAGACCAAGAUAUUUACCAAAUCUUUUAAAAUUCCUAUGAACUUUUAAUUUGUUAUCAUAAUACAAUAAAAGACCAAAUCUUCCAAACCCACUAUCAAUUUAAUCUGUUUGUAAAACUUGUUAAAAUCAAAAUCAUAUAUAUAUAUAUAAAACANGAUAAUGACUUGUGGCUUGUCAUAGCUAGCAAGCACGUUAGUUUUUGUUAUGAAAUAAAAAAUCUUAUACGUUACAUACAACAUAUGCGAUAAUAAUUUUAUAUUCUAAAUAAUAAUAAUUAUGUGUACCAAAUCUAUUUCGAAACAAGCAAAUUGAAUUUUCCAAUUUUUUUAGACCAAGAUAUUUACCAAAUCUUUUAAAAUUCCUAUGAACUUUUAAUUUGUUAUCAUAAUACAAUAAAAGACCAAAUCUUCCAAACCCACUAUCAAUUUAAUCUGUUUGUAAAACUUGUUAAAAUCAAAUAUUCAUAUAUAUAUAUAUAUAUAUAUAUAUAUAUAUAUAUAUAUAUAUCACUUUUCCUAUAAGGCUCUUGAAUCAUUAUUUGUUUCUGCAUAAUAACUACAUUUAUCAUUAUAACUAUUUGUAGAAUAACUAAAAUCCAAAGUCAUUUCUCAAGUACUUAUUUCGACAUCAAGCAUACGAAAACUUUCACUUUGUCUAAUGCUCUUUCAGGUAAGAGGAAAAAGAUUUACCUCUAAUGUAUGGAAAGAGAAUAUGUUUGAAGCACUACUCCACGGAAAGUUUAUAGAUGAAGCUUUGGCUAUUAGUUCCAUAUUAAACUUGUAAUUUGAAACAAAAUCAACAUAGUGGUGUUGGAGUUGAAUGUUGAAGAUGAUAAAAAAGAAAGCAUUUGAGCGUGCAUGCCAAGUUUGUAUUUGCAUCAUAUGUAAGAUUGAGUUAAUGGGCUUCCACCUAAAAGGAUUGAUGGCCCUUUGCCUAUUGUUUCAACUUUACAAUUUCAGGUCUACGGUCUUUCUAACACUACUUUUGAUGAAGCCCCAAAAGCCCAUAGCCCCUAAUUCCUCUGCCUCUUGGAAUCAAUUUUCUUUCCGGUCUAUUGGUUAUCUAAAAAUUCACUAAAGCAAAGACAACGGAUUAACUGGUCUAUAUUUGAACCUUGCUUCAUCUUCCAUGUUCUUCCCAAAUUCGCCAGAAAAAAAAAUGGCGUGUCCAAAUUGUUGAAAAUGGAUUGAGAAUCAAAAGUUUUUCCUAGUUCCCAUGAUUUAACACAAGUUCAAAUUAAAGCAGGUGGCUAAUCCAGGAGAGUUAAUGCUUAACAUGAGCCCAAUAUGCAACCUUAUCGAGUAGGUCAAUCAAAGGCCAAUAUUUCUCAACCUAAGUUGACAGUAAUUUUUUGGAAGAUUAUCAUCCUGCUUUCAUUAAAAGGAAGGAAUGAAAUAAUUCCUUCCAUCAAGAGGAACCAUUACAAACAGACCCACCCAUACACCCACUUCUUCCAGGCAAGUAGAUAACUCCAACACCCCUUUAUAACAUUUAUUGUCCAUCAGUUGAAGUAGUCGAUUCAUUCAUAAGGGUCAUUAUCAUCGUUUAUUGAAUUAUUUCCAUAUCUGUAGAUCAAUGGAAGCAACGUUACUGCUGCUGGAGUACACGACAAAUAAUAAGUUAUUUUAUCUUGUAGUGGAGUUUAACUCGACUGUACUCAGUAUCCAACCACACAUGAAUCCAGAACUCAAUCCAUUUAAUGUCAUAAAUGUACCAAAUAGGACACUGCCAAGCUUCUCAUAUAUCAUGUCAUAAUUUAGCUUAAAUUCGACAACCUUAGCAUUUAGGUUAUGAAAUUUAAGAUGUCUUGACAGAAUGAAAAUGACUUGAAGUAGCUAAAUUAUUUAAAUUCGAUCAUCCAUCAGUCACUCUUUUGGGUUCCACUAAAUUCAUUUAAGAUUAAUUCAAGAAAUAAACAAAAAAAAAAUCUCAAUAGAUGUAUUAGACAAAAAACUUUGUGUUGCUGAUCAAUUAAGGAUAAAAACUUGGUCAUGGAAUUGAAUCAUAUGCUGGCUUUGUAAACUCCCUGAACGGAAUUAUACAAAUAAAUUGAACUAAUUUAUGAUAUUAAACUUUGAGUAAUUUUAGUAGCCAAUGGAAAAAUGAAGAAAAAUUUCACCAGGCAAGCGAACAUAACAUUAGCUUUUCCAUUCUGAUUUAAUAAGACUUACAUUAGAUGAAUCCAUGAACAGCCACAUGAAUUUCGGGGCUUAAGAUAUGUGAAAUCAAUGAAGGUUGUAAUUGCCCUGAGCUGAUCAGUCGUAUCAUUCUGGUUUAACAUAUAGAAGCGUAUUUGACAAAGGUUUACAAGUCCUGGAUCAGAAGGAUGGGUAUAUCACUGGACUGAUAUUAAAAGCGAGACUGCCUUUCCAGAAAAAGAAAAGCUAGACUGACAAUUACCUAAGUAUAAUAUCCUAGUAAAAAUCAGUAUCUUAUCUUUUCCUAGGAUAAAUAUGGGCCUGCAAUGGAGUCUUCAUCCCCACCGUGAACUCCUGCUUCUCCUCCAAGCUGACCUCAUCUCCAUCCAUAGCCUUCCAUUCGAGGUUCCAAACAAGAUUUGCCACAAAAUACUCCAGAUGAAGCAUGGCCAAGCCGAGUCCAGGACAAAUCCUCCUCCCUACCCCAAACGGCAUCAUCUUGAUUUCCCUAGUUCCUGUUAUAUCAAAGACUUCCCCGCUUUUAUUGCCACUGCUAAGGAACCUUUCAGGCUUAAAUGACAUUGGAUCCUCCCAUAUUUUCGGAUCCCACCCCAUUUCUGCUAUCAUGAAAUUAAUGGUAGCAUUCUUGGGUACGGAAAAUCCUCCGAGGACUGUGUCUUCUCUCACACUAUGAGGCAGAACAAAGUGGCCUGGUGGGUGCCUUCUUAGCCCCUCCAAGAUCACUGCCUUCAAGUAAGGCAUCUUCUGCAAAUCAUCUUCCUUGACCUCUUCCUCUCCAUCUCUCACAACCCCUUUGAUCUCCAUGAAUAGCUUCUCUUGAACAUGUGGAUAUUUCACCAUGUUUGCCAUAAUCCACUGCAAAGCAGUGGAGGUAGUAUCUGUUCCACCAUUGAGAAACUCAGAGCUCAAAGUGACAAUUUCCUGUUCAGUAAGAUUCCUUUGUCCCUCCGGUAGUUGAAGAUCAAGCAAAGUAUCAACAUACGCCAAAAGAUACUCGUCAUCAUCAGCUUCCUCUUUGUCCUCUUUACUCUUGCUCAAUCUCUCCUCUUUCACUUUCUUUCGUGCCCUUAUCAAAUGAACCAACACCUUUUCUUGAACCUCGAGGGCCUGACAGAACUCCUUCCAACGUUUAUGAAGCAAAAACCUUGUCAAGUUAGGCCAGAAAUUGAGUAGGUUGAAUCUUCCUCCCACGUCUAUUAGCAAACGGCGCUGAAUACUCUCAAUCUCUUUAAUUUGUUCUUGAUUAAGCUUGUCACCGAAACACAUCAGCACCAAUAAGCAGAACAUAGCAUAUUGAAAAUGAUCCACAGCACGAACUGGUUCUCCAGUUUUAGAGUGUGAGAUUAAGGAUUCUAACAAGAUUUGAAGAACCCAUUUCCGAGCAUGAGAGUAGGAUUUUAUACGCGAAGGAUGGAGGAUUUGAGCUGUGAGGUUACGCCUCAAAAGUCUCCAAGUUGGACCAUAGGGAGCAGAGUUGAUAUUAUGUUGAUUACAGGUUACAAUCUUGGCUAUGAAAGGAGGUUCGGGGCGGUCGGCAAACAAAGCACCGCUUUGAAUUAACGCCUGGUGGGCGAGAGAGCGAUCGGAGAUGAAAAUAGCAGGGCGAGAAAGAAUGUUGAGAGUGACCAUCGGACCAAGCUUGUUAUGGAGGUUCCGGAGGAUUGGUUCCAGUUCGGAAAAGGUUCUCCUGAGCCAUAAAAUGUUGCUGAUAAUGGGAAUGUUGGCAGGGCCCGGAGGGAGUGUUUGAGAAGGGUUCUCUGAAUGGGAUGAAAGAAGGUUAAUGAGAGCUCUAAAGAGAAGAGAAAUGGAGAUGGUGACGAGAAUGACGAACCAGGUUUCCAUGUUGCUUUGGGUUGAGAGAGAGUUGGGUGGUGGGUAUAUAAAAGAGGAUUUGAGGGAGCGGCAAGUAUUAUUUGUAAUUUGAGUUUGUUGGCAAAAGCUUGACUUCAUGUAACGAGGUCAAGAGAGAUACGAAAUGAAUACUACUAUGCUUUUUAAUUGGAAGAUGAUAGAUUGAUAGAAUGGCUAACCUUUUUGUGGUGGUAGACGAGAGUGAGUCUCUAGAUAUUUUGUCUGAGAUAUUAGCGGGAGCUUCAACUGUAUUUUAAAUGCUUACCGUGGUUUCAUUUUUAAAUCUUAGCACCAAUUCAAGAAUCACAAGUCCUUCUCUUAUCUUAAUUGAGGCUUAUCUUAAUUCUUAAUAUCUCUUAUAAAACGUCUAUUCAAUGAAGAAUAUUGAAUAAAUUUUGAUAUCAUAUUACAUCGGUUUACAUUUUCAAUCCUAAAAAUGCAUUUGUUUAUUAGAUGAAAAAAGAUCUUCCAAACUUAUUUCAUCUUUUAUUAAUGUGGAAUUUAUGUAGUGUAUAAUGUUAUCAAAAAUUCUAUUUUUACAAAAAUUAUACAAUUUUAAUAAAUUUCUGUUUUUAAUAUAGUAAAUAUACAAGUUGCUAGUUAUUUAAUAUAUUAUAGGGACAUGUUUUCAUCUUAACUUGUAACGAGAAAAUAAUUUUAACAUAUAGCUCGCUUUAUAUUUUAAAUAUAUAAUUUUAAUUCAAUAACACUUUUUUUAAAAAAAUUACCUGAAUAACACAUUACUUAAAUUAAUAGAGAUCUUUAAAAAAUAUUAAAAUUAAAUAACAAAUCUCAUAUAUAUAUAUAUAUAUAUAUAUAUAGAAAUAAAUUGAUAGUAUGUUGUCUUUUUGUUAAUAAUAAAUGUAUACAUUCCUUUUUAUGUUUCAUUUUCCCUAUAGUUGCAUACUCACACAAUGUACAAGUUUAUGUAAAACAAUUAUACGAUAACAUAUUAUAAUUUUGUUUUAUUUAUAUAAUCAUAUACAUAUUAACACUGCAAACCAUUAUAAAGCUCAUCAUCCAAUCAAAAAUAUAAACGCAUGUAUAUAAUUUAAGGAGAAAAAAAUGAUGAAGUAAUAUUUCAAAAAAAUCACAAUCUUUUUUAUUAUAAGUGGGGGAGGGGGAUUCGAAUCUUACUUUUUAGAUAGGGAGAUUGUAUAUCAACAAAUGAGUCAAAUGCUUAGGUGCAAAAAAAGUCAUAAUCUUUGAUAUUUUAUUAUUUCAGUAAUUAAUUCAUUUAUACCAAAAACUUUACGCACAUAAGAUAUAAAAAAAAUACAAAUUGAAGGAUUCCAUUAACCAAUCUUUAAAAAUAUAUAUAAUUUAUAUAUUAUAUUCACAACUCAAAAUUCCAACACAAUUAAAUAGGAUAUUACUAUUAAUUACAUUCAAUAUAACAAAUUAAUUAAUAAAUAAGAAAAUUGUCACACUAAUAUUCUAAAAUAUCAAUUUUGAUGGAAAUGGGGAUUAAAAUUGAAGGCCUGAACUGGUAACCGGGCUCAUAAGCAGAGUUAACUCGUUAGGCCCAUGGAAAACAACCAGAAGACGAGGGCCCAGCCCUAGAAAUCAGCAUCGGAAUGCAAAAUUUGAUAAAUGCCAGAACCCAAGAAACAAUUCGGAGAUACAAAAUUUGGAAUUUUGAAUUUAAACGGAAGCUUUGGGGAGGAGAAGGCGAAUCGAGAAUGGCAACCACUUCCAAGAACAUGAAGGGUUUCUACAGGCAAAAGAAGAACAACAGUAGGGGAGGCAUAACCAAGUCGAAAUCCUCGAAAUCAACCAAAAACCCGUCGCCCAGUCACGCCGCUACUUUCGGUUCCGAUAUCACCCAGCCCGCCGCCCUUACUUCUCCCGGCGGUUCCCUCGAUCUCAAAGGCCACACUCUUUUCCCUUUUUCUCUUAAUGGGUAUUUAUAAAAAAUAAAUACUAUUAUAUUUCUUUACUUACUUUUAUUGGUUUCUUGGGAGGAAGCAGAUGAUUUUGAUGUGCAAGAGGAAGUGUCAAGGCAUUUUGAUAUGAACAUGGCAUAUGGACCGUGCCUUGGGAUAACGCGGAUGGCUCGUUGGGAAAGAGCUCAAAGGUUGGGGCUAAACCCUCCUAAAGAAAUUGAGAAUCUCUUGAAAGGUGGGAAAGUGAAGUUAGAAUCCUUAUUUGAUGGUCGUGUUUAGUUAAUUGUUACUAAUGAUUUUUGGGUGACAUGUACAGCCUCUAGCUGUACUUUUAGUUUGGUGUUCAGUGUUCUUAAUGUUGUAAUGAACUGGAGAAGUUUGGCAAUAUUAAUGGAGAUGUUAUGCGAUGACUGAUUUGGUGUUUAAUGUUGUGUUAUGAUUAAAAUUGGAUCUAACAAGUUGAUUUUCUUUUAGAGUAAUUCGCGUGUUCCUAACUGAUUUUGGCCUUUAAAAGAUUUGAAGGGAAAGGGUUGCAUAUGUUGGGUUAUUUUACCUUGGAAUUUCUUUCAAUAACUAAUCCGGCUGCCACUUGUGUUCUAAAAUAUGUCUUCUUUAGCAGCAUCAAAUAUUCAAGUUGUAGCAGUACAUGUGGUUUCCUACUUAAUAGCGUAUAGCCUAUAGUUUUAUAUCAUAAAUUAGUUCAAAUAUUCAAGGUGUGUUCUAAAAUGGCUUGAAGUGGCUGAAUUACUUAAAUUCGAUCAUCAAUCAGUCACUCUUUUGGGUUCCACUUGAUUCAUUUAAAAUUAAUUCAAGAAAUAAACCAAAAAAAAAUCUCAGUAGAUGUAUUAGACAAAAAACUUUGUGCUGCUGAUCAAUUAAGGAUAAAAACUUGGUCGUGGAAUCGAAACAUAUUCAUUAUUCUGGCAUUGUAAACUCCUUGAACAGAAUUAUACAAAUAAAUUGAACUAAUUUAUGAUAUAAAACUUUGAGUAAUUUUAGUAGCCAAUGGAAAAAUGAAGAAAUAUUUCACCAGGCAAGUGAACAUAACAUUAGCUUUUCCAUUCUGAUUUAAUAAGACUUACAUUAGAUGAACCCAUGAGCAGCCACAUGAAUUCCAGGGCUUAAGAUAUGUGAAAUCAAUGAAGGUUGUUGCUACAAUUCUGGAAGAAUUUACUAUCCAGCUAAUUGCCCUGAGCUGGUCAGUCGUAUCACUCUGGUUUAACACAUAGAAGCGUAUCUGACAAAGGUUUACAAGUCCUGGAUCAGAGGAUGUGUAUAUCACUGGACAGAUAUUAAAAGCUAGACUGACUUUCCAGAAAAAGAAAAGCUAGACUGGCAAUUACCUAUAUAUAAUAUACUGGUAAAAAUCGGUAUCUUAUCUUUUCCUAGGAUGAAUAUGGGCCUGCAAUGGAGUCUUCAUCCCCACUGUGAACUCCUGCUUCUCCUCCAAGCUCACCUCAUCUCCAUCCAUAGCCUUCCAUUCGAGUUUCCAAACCAGAUUUGCCACAAAAUACUCCAGAUGAAGCAUGGCCAAGCCGAGUCCAGGACAAAUCCUCCUCCCUACCCCAAACGGCAUCAUCUUGAUCUCCCUACUUCCUGUUAUAUCAAAGACUUCCCCACUUUUAUUGCCACUGCUAAGGAACCUUUCAGGCUUAAAUGACAUUGGAUCCUCCCAUACUUUCGGAUCCCGCCCCAUUUCUGCUACCAGGAAAUUAAUGGUAGCAUUCUUGGGUACCGAAAAUCCUCCGAGGACUGUGUCUUCUCUCACGCUAUGAGGCAGAACAAAGUGGCCUGGUGGGUGCCUCCUUAGCCCUUCCAAGAUCACUGCCUUCAGGUAAGGCAUCUUCUGCAAAUCAUCUUCCUUGACCUCUUCCUCUCCAUCUCCCACAACCCCUUUGAUCUCCAUUAAUAGCUUCUCUUGAACAUGUGGAUAUUUCACCAUGUUUGCCAUAAUCCACUGCAAAGCAGUGGAGGUAGUAUCUGUUCCAGCACUGAGAAACUCAGAGCUCAAAGUGGCAAUUUCCUGUUCAGUAAGAUUCCUUUGUCCCUCCGAUAAUUGAAGAUCAAGCAAAGUAUCAACAUACGCCAAAAGAUACUCGUCAUCAUCAGCUUCCUCUUUGUCCUCUUUACUCUUGCUCAAUCUCUCCUCUUUCACUUUCUUUCGUGCCCUUAUCAAACGAACCAACACCUUCUCUUGAUCCUCAACGGUCUGAAAGAACUCCUUCCAACGUUUAUGAAGCAAAAACCUUGUCAAGCUAGGCCAGAAAUUGAGUAGGUUGAAUCUUCCUCCCAUGCCUAUUAGCAAACGGCGCGCAACAUUCUCAAUCUCUUUAAUUUGUUCUUGACUAAGCUUGUCACCGAAACACAUCAGCACCAAUAAGCAGAACAUAGCAUAUUGAAAAUGAUCCACAGCACGAACUGGUUCUCCAGUUUUAGAGUGUGAAAUUAAGGAUUCUAACAAGAUUUGAAUAACCCAUUUCCGAGCAUGAGAGUAGGAUUUUAUACGCGAAGGAUGGAGGAUUUGAGCUGUGAGGUUACGCCUCAAAAGUCUCCAAGUUGGACCGUAGGGAGCAGAGUUGAUAUUAUGUUGAUUACAGGUUACAAUCUUGGCUAUGAAAGGAGGUUCGGGGCGGUCGGCAAACAAAGCACCGCUUUGAAUUAACGCCUGGUGGGCGAGAGAGCGAUCGGAGAUGAAAAUAGCAGGGCGAGAAAGAAUGUUGAGAGUGACCAUCGGACCAAGGUUGUUAUGGAGGUUCCGGAGGAUUGGUUCCAGCUCGGAAAAGGUUCUCCUGAGCCAUAAAAUGUUGCUGAUAAUGGGAAUGUUGGCAGGGCCUGGAGGGAGUGUUUGGGAAGGGUUCUCGGAAUGGGAUGAAAGAAGGUUAAUGAGAGCUCUAAAGAGAAGAGAAAUGGAGAUGGUGACGAGAAUGAUGAACCAGGUUUCCAUGUUGCUUUGGGUCGAGAGAGAGUUGUGUGGUGGGUGAAAGAGGAUUUGAGGGACCGGCAAGUAUUUGUAAUUUGAGUUUGUUGGCGAGAGCUUGACUUCAUGUAACGAGGUCAAGAGAGAUAGGAAAAGUAUACUGCUGUGCACUUUAAUUGGAAGAUGAUAGAACAGAAUGCCUAACUUGUUUUGUGGUGUUAGACUAGAG
RNAcentral lists this long non-coding RNA (13259 nucleotides) under Theobroma cacao (cacao). Its description in RNAcentral is "long non-coding RNA (TCAC_LNC003523)". The record is from RNAcentral. Lineage: Eukaryota; Viridiplantae; Streptophyta; Magnoliopsida; Malvales; Malvaceae.